This 497-nucleotide ribosomal RNA is filed under the name uncultured archaeon. Its description in RNAcentral is "bacterial SSU rRNA". It matches the Rfam family "Archaeal small subunit ribosomal RNA", at positions 345 to 849 of the family's 1478-position model. The record is from RNAcentral.
AACCUCUGCAAUGCGCGAAAGCGUGACAGGGGGAUUCCACGUGCCCACGUUUGUGGGCUUUUCCCAUGUCUAAAACGCUUGGGGAAUAAGGGCUGGGUAAGACCCGUGCCAGCCGCCGCGGUAAUACGGGCAGCUCUAGUGGUGUUCGCGUAUAUUGGGCCUAAAGCGUUCGUAGCUGGUUUGGAAAGUCUCUGGUGAAAUCUUGCGGCUUAAUCGUGAGAAUUGCCAGGGAAACUUCCAGACUCGGAGCCGGGAGGGGUCAGAGGUAUUCCUGGGGUAGGGGUAAAAUCCUGUAAUCCUUGGAGGACCAUCGGUGGCGAAGGCGUCUGACUGGAACGGGCUCGACAGUGAGGAACGAAAGCUGGGGGAGCGACGCGGAUUAGAUACCCGCUUAGUCCCAGCCGUAAAUGAUGCCGGUUUGGUGUGGCGCAACCUACGAGGUUGUGCUGCGCCGUAGGGAAGCUGUAAACCGGCCGCCUGGGAGUACGUCGCAAGAC